Long non-coding RNA from Oncorhynchus masou masou (cherry salmon), 789 nucleotides. RefSeq lists it as uncharacterized. Lineage: Eukaryota; Metazoa; Chordata; Actinopteri; Salmoniformes; Salmonidae. The transcript is spliced from 3 exons. The record is from RefSeq and is a predicted model, not a curated record.
UGUGUGCAUUAACUCAAUUUGCCUUUGGAUUCCUAAGCAAACGUUGUCCACUCUGUUCAUAACAGAUUGUAGUUUGAGGAACAGAAAACUGUAUUGAGAUAAAAUGUUUAAUGCAUGAGAAAAUUUGCCGAAUUUCGGCCAAAACCCAUAUCGUUCCAUCUUCUCUCACUCUCUGCCAGUGGGCUUUCCCCUCACUACCAUAUAUAUACAUCCAAUGAAAUAUCUGUCGCAUUGUUCUGUCUGUGAUGUCGCAUUUGCUCUGUUGCAGUGGUGGAACAGGACGUUCCGGGAAGGCGCCAGAACUGUGUGGUGGAGACGAUAUAUUUUGUGUCAGUUUCACAUGUAUUACUACAGGUCAAGUCUGAGGUCGGUAACAUCAACAGUGAGGACAAGCCCAGCCUGCCUCUCUCCUUCCACACUGAGUCCAAACCUACAGUCACUGGGUCCUGAUUGUGACAGUGGAGCCCAGUUUGCACUGGAGGAUGCAGAGAUGACAUCAGUGAAGCUGGAAGACUGCAGUCAAACACUGGAGCUGAAUGUCAACAUUAAAGAUGAAGAAGAGGAGGAGAAGAUUGGGAAAUCUGUUUAUGAUGGCCGACUCAGAUCAAGUCUGAGGCCGGUAACAUCAACAGUGAGGACAAACCCAGCCUGCCUCUCUCCUUCCACACGGAGUCCAAACCUACAGUCACUGGGUCCUGAUUGUGACAGUGGGGCCCAGUUUGCACUGCAGGAUCCAGAGAUGGCAUCAGUAAAGCUGGAAGACUGCAGUCAAACACUGGAGCUGAAUGU